CUCUCUUUCUCUCUCUCUCUCUCUCUCUCCAUUUGUUUUGGCAAAAACAAAAGAAACCCACCAGCCUGCUUGGCUUGCUUUGUAUUGUGAUGAUCUGCCAUACAAAGAAAAGCACAACUUGGGCAGAUGUCUCCAAUUUUUAAGCAGCCUUUUUUUCUGGCUACCCUCAAGCUCAAGCUAAGCUAAUUGCCAGUCAGCUUCACUUGUUAGCUCUUGAGGAUGGACUUGUUUGGUUCAGGUUAUAUUUACCACGGGGGAACUGAUUUUCUUGGUUGAAAACUUUUGCUGCUGUAUUUAUGUUGAUUCAUGUCCAUGAA
Molecule: unclassified non-coding RNA, 317 nt
Filed under: Hevea brasiliensis (rubber tree)
Lineage: Eukaryota; Viridiplantae; Streptophyta; Magnoliopsida; Malpighiales; Euphorbiaceae
Source: RNAcentral